Molecule: ribosomal RNA, 830 nt
Filed under: Chitinimonas taiwanensis
Lineage: Bacteria; Pseudomonadati; Pseudomonadota; Betaproteobacteria; Neisseriales; Chitinibacteraceae
Description: bacterial SSU rRNA
Rfam family: Bacterial small subunit ribosomal RNA
Source: RNAcentral
GCAAGUCGAACGUGAAAAAAAUAUUUGCACCUAAGUUAGUGGCGAACGGGUGAGUAAUGCAUCGGAACGUACCGUGUAGUGGGGGAUAACCCGGCGAAAGUCGGAUUAAUACCGCAUACGAUCUAAGGAUGAAAGCAGGGGAUCGCAAGACCUUGCGCUAUACGAGCGGCCGAUGUCGGAUUAGCUAGUUGGUAGGGUAAAGGCCUACCAAGGCAACGAUCCGUAGCGGGUCUGAGAGGAUGAUCCGCCACACUGAGAAUGAGACACGGCCCAGACUCCUACGGGAGGCAGCAGUGGGGAAUUUUGGACAAUGGGCGAAAGCCUGAUCCAGCCAUGCCGCGUGAGUGAAGAAGGCCUUCGGGUUGCAAAGCUCUUUUGUCCGGGAGCAAAUCCUGUUCACUAAUACUGAGCGGGGCUGAGAGUACCGGAAGAAUAAGCACCGGCUAACUACGUGCCAGCAGCCGCGGUAAUACGUAGGGUGCGAGCGUUAAUCGGAAUUACUGGGCGUAAAGGGUGCGCAGGUGGUUACGUAAGUCUGAUGUGAAAGCCCCGGGCUCAACCUGGGAACUGCAUUGGAGACUGCGUGGCUAGAGUGUGGCAGAGGGGGGUGGAAUUCCGCGUGUAGCAGUGAAAUGCGUAGAGAUGCGGAGGAACACCAAUGGCGAAGGCAGCCCCCUGGGUUAACACUGACACUCAUGCACGAAAGCGUGGGGAGCAAACAGGAUUAGAUACCCUGGUAGUCCACGCCCUAAACGAUGUUUACUAGUUGUUGGGGUAGCAAUACCUUAGUAACGCAGCUAACGCGGAAGUAGACCGCCUGGGAUUACGCU